Molecule: small nuclear RNA, 152 nt
Organism: Dioscorea cayenensis subsp. rotundata (Guinea yam)
Lineage: Eukaryota; Viridiplantae; Streptophyta; Magnoliopsida; Dioscoreales; Dioscoreaceae
Product: U12 minor spliceosomal RNA
Exons: 1
Source: RefSeq, a predicted model, not a curated record
UUGCCUUAAACUAAUGAGUAAGGAAAACAAAGCGGGUGGUGGGAGCUGCCCGCCGCGCUAAAGUUAUCUUGCGCAAUGAUUUUUGGAGGGGUUAUAGGCUGGCCGGGUGCUGACGCUGCUUACUUCGCAGAACUCGCCUGUGCCGGCCUCCC